UUCCGGUUGAUCCUGCCGGAGGUCACUGCUAUCGGGGUUCGAUUAAGCCAUGCGAGUCGAGAGGGUUCAGACCCUCGGCGGACUGCUCAGUAACACGUGGAUAAUCUGCCCUAUGGUGGAGGAUAACCCCGGGAAACUGGGGAUAAUACUCCAUAAGUCAGGAGUACUGGAAUGUCUCCUAACUGAAAGUUGCGGCGCCAUAGGAUGAAUCUGCGGCCGAUUAGGUAGUUGUUGGGGUAACGGCCCAACAAGCCCGUAAUCGGUACGGGUUGUGGGAGCAAGAGCCCGGAGAUGGAAUCUGAGACACGAUUCCAGGCCCUACGGGGCGCAGCAGGCGCGAAAACUUUACAAUGCAGGAAACUGUGAUAAGGGAACCCCGAGUGCCCGUACACGCGGGCUGUCCCGGUGUUUAAAACACAUCGGAAGAAAGGGCCGGGCAAGACCGGUGCCAGCCGCCGCGGUAAUACCGGCGGCUCGAGUGGUGACCACUUUUAUUGGGCUUAAAGCGUUCGUAGCUUGAUUUUUAAGUCUCUUGGGAAAUCUCACGGCUUAACUGUGAGGCGUCUAAGAGAUACUGGGAAUCUAGGGACCGGGAGAGGUAUGAGGUACUUCAGGGGUAGAAGUGAAAUUCUGUAAUCCUUGAGGGACCACCGAUGGCGAAGGCAUCUUACCAGAACGGCUUCGACAGUGAGGAACGAAAGCUGGGGGAGCGAACGGGAUUAGAUACCCCGGUAGUCCCAGCCGUAAACUAUGCGCGUUAGGUGUGCCUGUAACUACGAGUUACCGGGGUGCCGAAGUGAAAACGUGAAACGUGCCGCCUGGGAAGUACGGUCGCAAGGCUGAAACUUAAAGGAGUUGGCGGGGGAGCACCACAACGGGUGGAGCCUGCGGUUUAAUUGGAGUCAACGCCGGA
Molecule: ribosomal RNA, 913 nt
Filed under: uncultured compost archaeon
Lineage: Archaea
Description: bacterial SSU rRNA
Rfam family: Archaeal small subunit ribosomal RNA
Source: RNAcentral